CUAAAAGAGCCUGAUCAAAGGGUCAGUUUGAUAGAUUGAAUUUAGCAAACGAA
This 53-nucleotide transfer RNA is filed under the name Calisoga longitarsis. RNAcentral describes it as "tRNA-Ile". Lineage: Eukaryota; Metazoa; Arthropoda; Arachnida; Araneae; Nemesiidae. The record is from RNAcentral.